CCAUGCCGCGUGAGUGAUGAAGGCCUUAGGGUUGUAAGCUCUUUACCCGGAAGAUAAUGACGGUACCGGGAGAAUAAGCCCCGGCUAACUUCGUGC
This 96-nucleotide ribosomal RNA is filed under the name uncultured bacterium. RNAcentral's name for it is "partial 16S ribosomal RNA". It matches the Rfam family "Bacterial small subunit ribosomal RNA", at positions 392 to 508 of the family's 1533-position model. The record is from RNAcentral.